GGUUUGUGGCUCAGUGGUGGAGCACUUGCCUCACAUGUAUGAGGAACUGGGUUCAACUCUCAGCACCA
This 68-nucleotide transfer RNA is filed under the name Marmota monax (woodchuck). RNAcentral's name for it is "tRNA.Val". The stretch from base 5 to 65 matches the Rfam family "tRNA", at positions 6 to 65 of the family's 71-position model. From Rfam's summary of the family: Transfer RNA (tRNA) molecules are approximately 80 nucleotides in length. Their secondary structure includes four short double-helical elements and three loops (D, anti-codon, and T loops). The record is from RNAcentral. Lineage: Eukaryota; Metazoa; Chordata; Mammalia; Rodentia; Sciuridae.